RNAcentral lists this ribosomal RNA (490 nucleotides) under Selenomonas sp. oral taxon 137. Its description in RNAcentral is "bacterial SSU rRNA". It matches the Rfam family "Bacterial small subunit ribosomal RNA", at positions 28 to 492 of the family's 1533-position model. The record is from RNAcentral. Lineage: Bacteria; Bacillati; Bacillota; Negativicutes; Selenomonadales; Selenomonadaceae.
GACGAACGCUGGCGGCGUGCUUAACACAUGCAAGUCGGACGGAGCGAAUGAAAGCUUGCUUUUAUGAGCUUAGUGGCAAACGGGUGAGUAACACGUAGACAACCUGCCGAUCAGAUGGGGACAACAUUCCGAAAGGAAUGCUAAUACCGAAUGGCGUGUAGGGGAGGCAUCUUCCCUACAUGAAAGAUGGCCUCUAUAUAUAAGCUAUCACUGAUCGAUGGGUUUGCGUCUGAUUAGCUAGUAGGUAAGGUAACGGCUUACCUAGGCGACGAUCAGUAGCCGGUCUGAGAGGAUGAACGGCCACAUUGGGACUGAGACACGGCCCAGACUCCUACGGGAGGCAGCAGUGGGGAAUCUUCCGCAAUGGGCGCAAGCCUGACGGAGCAACGCCGCGUGAGUGAAGAAGGUCUUCGGAUCGUAAAGCUCUGUUGAAGGGGACGAACGUAUAUAGUGCGAAUAGUGCUGUGUAAUGACGGUACCUUUGAGAGCC